UCUCUCCCACUUCCAGCUCUUU
This 22-nucleotide microRNA is filed under the name Corchorus capsularis. RNAcentral describes it as "sRNA CCACVL1_11233". The record is from RNAcentral. Lineage: Eukaryota; Viridiplantae; Streptophyta; Magnoliopsida; Malvales; Malvaceae.